AAUUCCUCAAACAAGACUUAUCAUCUCUUAAGAUAAUAGGUAUUUAGAGUGUAUCUGGGAGUAUAUUUACCUAUUCUGGGAAGCUAGUCCUACCCGAUGUCCAACAUUGAGCGCUAGAGUUUAUAGAGAUUUGGGAUUAUUUCUUCCAUUCCCUUUGAGGGCAGAGCAAUUACAGUUUGAGAAAAGGCUUUCUAGGUGUUCAAUACUUUUUACAAAAGUAUCUGUAUACUCUCUAAAUUAAACAAGUUUUUAAAUAGGUCACAUUAUUUAGAUUAAGUCAAUUCUUAGCCCAUUGUAACAACACAAGCAUGAGCAGAAGGACAUUAUUGCUGACACCUUAUGUUGUCAUGAAAAUUGCUUGUAUCUGUGGCUACAGUCCAGAUAUGCUCCCUCCUGAGGACUUCCAAGAAAGAAAAAAGUCUAAUUCCUUUUGAAGCAGUGGGGGUGGGGGGGAGGCUUGUUGACCGGCCAGGACUACAUUCGCGUGAGGACUGAGGAGGCUGUGGGGAAGAAGGAGUGUUCAGACGAGACCAGCUGGACCCAGCAUUGAAGGUGAGCUGUCUUACUCGGUCUCCCUACUGUAGAAGGUUUAUGAAACAGCAGAGCCCGUAUUUUGUUGGCCCUCCUGUGUUGCUCUGUAACCAAGGCUGCCUUCAGACAACGUGAACAAAACGCUCUGGCUCCCGCGCACAGCGUGGUAUUUACCCAUUUGAAAGUGCUACCACUGCUGUUUCAACGGUGAUGUUUAAGCUCGGCCGCUGGUCAUUUUCACCCUGCUGGGUCCCUAUGGACAUCGAAGAGUCCCACAUUUUGCAGUGUCUCAGCCGGGGCCCCGGAGCACGUCUUGAAGAUUAGGCUGCUUGCCAGGUCCUGAUGCAGGGGACAAGACUGUCACGGUGGUCCCCUUAGACAGUAGGGCUUUUGACCUUGGGCUUUGCUAAGAGUCCUCAGAGGACGCCGAGAAGUUACCCGGAACAGGAGAUCUGGCUCAGGAAUCCCCACCAGCGACCGACAGGGCAUCUGCAGAGAGAAAACCAGAAGCGGGAAUCCCUGAGACUUCACUCCACCAGUCAACAGAGGCGAAUAUUUCUGGCGUCCAAAAGAACAGGCCCCCAUUGUGCGGCCCUGCCCUGGGCAGCUUGGCGCCGGGGGCGCUGUCUGCAGCCUUUUGAGACACCAUCUUUGAGGGUGCAUGAGGACCCCUGGGGUGCAGACACAGGACAGCCCCAGACUCACCCUGACCUGGGUGACUGCGGGCUGCCUCUGCUCCCCUCUCCCAGGCAUCUAGCACCAAAGAACCGUCCAAACCUCAUGAACAGGAAUAAUGGUGUCCAGAGCUUGGCACUUGUAAGCCAACCUUUCACCCCUUUCUCAAAGACCACGUGUCUAAGUGUCUGGAAUGGACAAGGGCAGGCGACGAGUGACCGAGCCUUCAGCCCUCCCUGGCUUUCAAGCUCAACUAACAGGGUUCUCUGCCUUGUUGUAGAAUGAGCCGUUUGGAGAGACAGAACCAGUGGGAUAUACAGAGACACGCACAAGAGCACAUUUAUUAUAGGAAUCGACUCGUGUGCUCAUGGGGCCUGAGAAGUCCCAUCAUCUGCCCUCUACGAGCAGAAGAAUCCCGUAUAAUUCGGCCUGAGUCUGCAGGCUUGAGAACGGGGAGAUGGAUGUUGUAAGUCCUGGAGUGAGUCCGAGAGCCAGAGAAGCAAGGGGAUGGAUCGGUCUGAGGGCCGGAGAUGGUGGUGGUCUCCACUCAAGCAGAGGGAGAGCAUUCGCCCAUCCCUCACUGGUUUGUUCUCUUGGAAGGUUGGAUGAAACCCACGGGCAUUGGUGAGGACCGGUCUUCCUCACUCAGUCCACCCAUUCAGAUGGUAAUCUCUCCCGGAGACCCACUCAGAAAUCAGAUUACACCAGCUCUCUGGGCAUCCGAUAGCCUGUCAAACAGACACAAACAAAUGAACCGUCACAGUCUUCCCCAGGAGGGUCUGGUAAAAGUUGGGUGUUGGUAUCUAGAGAUAAUGGCUUGGCCUCGUCUUCCCCAGUAGACCAGCUCUUCCAUAUUCUUAGCUCUAACUACACACGUGCUCUCCAAGCAGGGGCUCCUGUCACCUGUCUGUUGGACAUCUGCUUCAUUUGACUGUCGAAAAGAUUAAAUGAGAUACUGUGUGUGGUAAUAAAAGUAAUUACAGUUGUA
This is a long non-coding RNA of Suricata suricatta (meerkat), 2194 nucleotides long. RefSeq lists it as uncharacterized. The transcript is spliced from 5 exons. The record is from RefSeq and is a predicted model, not a curated record. NCBI's taxonomy places the organism in Eukaryota, Metazoa, Chordata, Mammalia, Carnivora, Herpestidae.